CAGAAGAAUGAGGCGAAGCCUUGAGGUUUGGAAAAUGGGCACUGUCAAUUACUUGGAGGCACUGAAGCUGCAAGAGAAGCUAGCAUCUGAUAGAAAAGCCCUUAAAAUUACUGAUACCUUAUUAUCUCUUCAACAUCCACCUACUUAUACUCUUGGCAAAAGGCAAACAGUUCACAAUCUACUCAUACCUGAUUCGGAGCUCAAAGCCAUGGGGGCUGAACUUCUCUUAAAAUUACUGACACCCUAUUAUCUCUUCAACAUCCACCUACUCAUACUCUUGGCAAAAGGCAAACAGUUCACAAUCUACUCAUACCUGAUUCGGAGCUCAAAGCCAUGGGGGCUGAACUUCACGAUACACAAAGAGGAGGUGACAUUACUUUUCAUGGUCCUCACCAGGCGAUCUUGUAUCCGAUUGUUUCACUGAGAGAUAUUGGUUUGGGCGCUCGAAAAUAUGUGGA
Molecule: long non-coding RNA, 458 nt
Filed under: Nicotiana benthamiana
Lineage: Eukaryota; Viridiplantae; Streptophyta; Magnoliopsida; Solanales; Solanaceae
Description: long non-coding RNA (NBEN_LNC014525)
Source: RNAcentral